Molecule: non-coding RNA, 27 nt
Filed under: Bombyx mori (domestic silkworm)
Lineage: Eukaryota; Metazoa; Arthropoda; Insecta; Lepidoptera; Bombycidae
Source: RNAcentral
CGGAUAAUUACAAACCUAUGAUCAUGG